Molecule: ribosomal RNA, 505 nt
Filed under: uncultured bacterium
Lineage: Bacteria
Description: partial 16S ribosomal RNA
Rfam family: Bacterial small subunit ribosomal RNA
Source: RNAcentral
GACGAACGCUGGCGGCGUGCCUAAUACAUGCAAGUAGAACGCACAGUUUAUACCGUAGCUUGCUACACCGUAGACUGUGAGUUGCGAACGGGUGAGUAACGCGUAGGUACCCUGUCUGGGAGCGGGGGAUAACUAUUGGAAACGAUAGCUAAUACCGCAUAAUAUUGAUUAUUCCAUGAUAAUUGAUUGAAAGAUGCUAUUGCUUCACUACUAUAUGGUCCUGCGUUUUAUUAGCUAGUAGGUGAGGUAACGGCUCAUCUAGGCGAAGAUACAUAGCCGACCUUGGAAGGUGGAUCGGCAAAACGGGACUGAGGAAACGCCCAAGCUCCUAAGGGAGGCAGCAGUAGGGGAAUAUUGGCAAUGGGCGGAAAGCUUGCCCAACAAAGACGGGGGGGUGAAGGAGGUUUUCGGAUCGGAAAAGUCUGUUGUAAGGGAAGGAAGGGUGGGAGAGUAGAAAGUUGCCGCUGUGACGGUAUCUUACCAGAAAGGGACGGCUAACUACGUG